AUGAACGCUGGCGGCGUGCCUAAUACAUGCCAGUCGAGCGCACGGACGAGAAGCUAGCUUCUCUGAUGUUAGCGGCGGACGGGUGAGUAACACGUGGAUAACCUACCUAUAAGACUGGGAUAACUUCGGGAAACCGGAGCUAAUACCGGAUAAUAUUUUGAACCGCAUGGUUCAAAAGUGAAAGACGGUCUUGCUGUCACUUAUAGAUGGAUCCGCGCUGCAUUAGCUAGUUGGUAAGGUAACGGCUUACCAAGGCAACGAUGCAUAGCCGACCUGAGAGGGUGAUCGGCCACACUGGAACUGAGACACGGUCCAGACUCCUACGGGAGGCAGCAGUAGGGAAUCUUCCGCAAUGGGCGAAAGCCUGACGGAGCAACGCCGCGUGAGUGAUGAAGGUCUUCGGAUCGUAAAACUCUGUUAUUAGGGAAGAACAUAUGUGUAAGUAACUGUGCACAUCUUGACGGUACCUAAUCAGAAAGCCACGGCUAACUACGUG
RNAcentral lists this ribosomal RNA (496 nucleotides) under uncultured bacterium. RNAcentral describes it as "partial 16S ribosomal RNA". It matches the Rfam family "Bacterial small subunit ribosomal RNA", at positions 29 to 507 of the family's 1533-position model. The record is from RNAcentral.